UAGAGAUAGAGGAGUGCUCGAAAGAGAGCCGUAACACAGGUGCUGCAUGGCUGUCGUCAGCUCGUGUCGUGAGAUGUUGGGUUAAGUCCCGCAACGAGCGCAACCCUUGCCAUUAGUUGCUACGAAAGGGCACUCUAAUGGGACUGCCGGUGACAAACCGGAGGAAGGUGGGGAUGACGUCAAGUCCUCAUGGCCCUUAUAGGUGGGGCUACACACGUCAUACAAUGGCUGGUACAGAGGGUUGCCAACCCGCGAGGGGGAGCUAAUCCCAUAAAGCCAGUCGUAGUCCGGAUCGCAGUCUGCAACUCGACUGCGUGAAGUCGGAAUCGCUAGUAAUCGCGGAUCAGAAUGUCGCGGUGAAUACGUUCCCGGGUCUUGUACACACCGCCCGUCACACCAUGGGAGCGGGUUCUGCCAGAAGUAGGUAGCCUAACCGUAAGGAGGGCGCUUACCACGGCAGGGUUCGUGACUGGGGUGAAGUCGUAACAAGGUAGCCGUAG
Molecule: ribosomal RNA, 500 nt
Filed under: uncultured bacterium
Lineage: Bacteria
Description: bacterial SSU rRNA
Rfam family: Bacterial small subunit ribosomal RNA
Source: RNAcentral